ACGAACGCUGGCGGCGUGCUUAACACAUGCAAGUCGCACGGAAAGGCCCUGCUUUUGUGGGGUGCUCAAGUGGCGAACGGGUGAGUAACACGUGAGUAACCUGCCCUUGACUUUGGGAUAACUUCAGGAAACUGGGGCUAAUACCGGAUAGGAGCUCCUGCUGCAUGGUGGGGGUUGGAAAGUUUCGGCGGUUGGGGAUGGACUCGCGGCUUAUCAGCUUGUUGGUGGGGUAGUGGCUUACCAAGGCUUUGACGGGUAGCCGGCCUGAGAGGGUGACCGGCCACAUUGGGACUGAGAUACGGCCCAGACUCCUACGGGAGGCAGCAGUGGGGAAUAUUGCACAAUGGGCGGAAGCCUGAUGCAGCAACGCCGCGUGCGGGAUGACGGCCUUCGGGUUGUAAACCGCUUUCGCCUGUGACGAAGCGUGAGUGACGGUAAUGGGUAAAGAAGCACCGGCUAACUACGUG
RNAcentral lists this ribosomal RNA (467 nucleotides) under uncultured bacterium. RNAcentral's name for it is "partial 16S ribosomal RNA". It matches the Rfam family "Bacterial small subunit ribosomal RNA", at positions 29 to 507 of the family's 1533-position model. The record is from RNAcentral.